CGAGUUGGCUGGGCGGCUGCGGCACCGGAGAAAUCCGGCGUCGAGGAAAGUCCGGACUUCACAGAGCAGGGUGAUUGCUAACGGCAAUCCGAGGUGACUCGCGGGAAAGUGCCACAGAAAACAGACCGCCAGCAAUGGUAAGGGUGAAACGGUGCGGUAAGAGCGCACCAGCAUCCCGGGUGACCGGGGUGGCUAGGCAAACCCCACCCGAAGCAAGGCCAAGAAGGCCGCAACCUGGUUGCGGUCGCGCAGGCGCCCGAGGGUUGCUCGCCCGAGCCUGCGGGUAGGCCGCUUGAGGCACCCGGUGACGGUGUGUCCAGAUGGAUGGUCGCCGUCUUACCCUCAGGGGUGAGAGACAGAAUCCGGCUUACAGGCCAACUCGUUCG
Molecule: RNase P RNA, 386 nt
Filed under: Mycobacterium sp. NS-7484
Lineage: Bacteria; Bacillati; Actinomycetota; Actinomycetes; Mycobacteriales; Mycobacteriaceae
Description: RNase P RNA component class A
Rfam family: Bacterial RNase P class A
About the family: Ribonuclease P (RNase P) is a ubiquitous endoribonuclease, found in archaea, bacteria and eukarya as well as chloroplasts and mitochondria. Its best characterised activity is the generation of mature 5'-ends of tRNAs by cleaving the 5'-leader elements of precursor-tRNAs.
Source: RNAcentral